RNAcentral lists this ribosomal RNA (253 nucleotides) under uncultured bacterium. RNAcentral's name for it is "partial 16S ribosomal RNA". It matches the Rfam family "Bacterial small subunit ribosomal RNA", at positions 524 to 776 of the family's 1533-position model. The record is from RNAcentral.
UACAGAGGGGGCAAGCGUUGUUCGGAAUUACUGGGCGUAAAGGGCGCGUAGGCGGCCCGCUAAGUCGAACGUGAAAUCCCCGGGCUCAACCCGGGAACUGCGUCCGAUACUGGCGGGCUUGAAUCCGGGAGAGGGAUGCGGAAUUCCAGGUGUAGCGGUGAAAUGCGUAGAUAUCUGGAGGAACACCGGUGGCGAAGGCGGCAUCCUGGACCGGCAUUAACGCUGAGGCGCGAAAGCCAGGGGAGCAAACGGG